This 497-nucleotide ribosomal RNA is filed under the name uncultured bacterium. RNAcentral's name for it is "partial 16S ribosomal RNA". It matches the Rfam family "Bacterial small subunit ribosomal RNA", at positions 28 to 507 of the family's 1533-position model. The record is from RNAcentral.
GAUGAACGCUGGCGGCGGGCCUAACACAUGCAAGUCGAGCGGACACAUGAUAAGCUUUUUCUUUUACCGUUAGCGGCUGACGGGCGAGUAACACAUGCAUCACCUACCUCUAUUUCUUGGAUAAUUUCGUGAAACCGGUUCUGCUACCGCCUCAUAUAUCGAACCGGAUGGUUCAAUAGUGCAUGACGCUUUUGCUGUUACUUUUAGCUGGAUCCGGGCUGCAUUAUCUAGUUGGUAAGGUAACGGCUUACCAAGGCAACGAUGCGUAGCCGACCUGAGAGGAUGAUCGGCCACACUGGAACUGAGACACGGUCCAGACUCCUACGGGAGGCAGCAGUGGGGAAUAUUCCACAAUGGGCGAAAGCUUGACGGAGCAACGCCGCGUGGGUGAAGAAGGUCUUCGGAUCGUAAAGCUCUGUUAUUAGGGAAGAACAAAAGUGUGAGUAAAUAUGCAUGUUUUGACGGUACCUAAUGAAAAAGCAACGGCUAACUACGUG